This is a non-coding RNA of Odocoileus virginianus texanus, 512 nucleotides long. NCBI's taxonomy places the organism in Eukaryota, Metazoa, Chordata, Mammalia, Artiodactyla, Cervidae. The record is from RefSeq and is a predicted model, not a curated record.
CCAUGAAGACUCGCAGGGAAGGCUGUGAGGAGCCGCUGCUGGCGGCUUGCUGGUCCCAGGAGAGGUUUGAGGGGAUAGUCCUAACUGCUGCUGAAACCAUUUGUUUCGGGGAUCCUGCCUGUUUUUUUCCCCUGCUCGGCACUGACUGCCAACCUGUGCUUUUCUUUGGUGGAACGGAAAGACACCUCUGGACAAGCUGAGCACCGCCAAGACCCAAAGGCAUCAAUCAAUAAUGCCAGCUGAGUGGACACUGGACUUCCACAUCUGAAGUCAAGAAUUAACCAAGUUUUUAAGGGCUGCUGGAAGGUCCCUUCGGGGCAUGCAGAGUCGCCUUGGCCUUGGCAGUUCCUGUGGAGUUGUAAACUGCUCCCCAGGACCAAGGAGUGUUCAGUGUGGAAGUCAUCCUAAUCAGCUGACUGUCGGGUUUCGCCUGCAGGUCCCGGAGACGAGAUUGUUCUUCCAGUAACUUUGUUCCGAGGCGGAGGGGAGGGGAGACGCCGAGGGGACCCCGG